Molecule: ribosomal RNA, 392 nt
Filed under: uncultured soil bacterium
Lineage: Bacteria
Description: bacterial SSU rRNA
Rfam family: Bacterial small subunit ribosomal RNA
Source: RNAcentral
AGAUUGAACGCUGGCGGCAUGCCUUACACAUGCAAGUCGAACGGCAGCACGGGAGCAAUCCUGGUGGCGAGUGGCGAACGGGUGAGUAAUACAUCGGAACGUGCCCAAUCGUGGGGGAUAACGCAGCGAAAGCUGUGCUAAUACCGCAUAAGAUCUACGGAUGAAAGCAGGGGAUCGCAAGACCUUGCGCGAAUGGAGCGGCCGAUGGCAGAUUAGGUAGUUGGUGAGGUAAAGGCUCACCAAGCCUUCGAUCUGUAGCUGGUCUGAGAGGACGACCAGCCACACGUGGGACUGAGACACGGCCCAGACUCCGUACGGGAGGCAGCGAGGUACGGGGUAAUUUUGGACUAAGUGGGACGAAAGCCUGACUCCGAGCCAGUCGGCCGACGUGC